RNAcentral lists this small RNA (127 nucleotides) under Marmota monax (woodchuck). The record is from RNAcentral. Lineage: Eukaryota; Metazoa; Chordata; Mammalia; Rodentia; Sciuridae.
GCUGGGCAUGGUGGCACACGCCUGUAAUCCCAGUGGCUCAGGAGGCUGAGACAGGAAGAUUGCGAGUUCAAAGCCAGCCUCAGCAACUCAGUGAGGCCCUAAGCAACUCAGUGAGACCCUGUCUCUA